AUGACCCAGACCACAGAUGAAAUUGUGCCAUAUGUGGAAGAAACACCUGGCUCUUUUUAUUUUACUGCAGAGAUACUAACAGAGCACAACAUAAAAUAUUCCACUCAAAAAGUGAUUCUGAGAAAAUAUGGAAGCUGUAACCUUAAUAGUUUACACGUAAAGAAAGUCGACCAAAGUGUGUGUAAUUCUGAGGGUGAGAAAGCAAUUAUAAUGGAAUUCAUCAAUGUUUGUCAACUACCCAUUACAAACCAUCUGAACGUAAUAAAUGUGGCAAAGCUUUUGAGUUCUGCUCAAUCUUCACAGAACAUAAGAAAAUUUUACUAAAAUGAAAUGCUACAAAUGUGAAGAAUGAGGUAAAGACCAUAGGUUGUUCUCAGAUUUUACUAUGCAGAAGAGAAUUUAUACUGCAGAGAGUUACUACACAUGUGAAAAAUGUGGCAAAGCCUUUAAGAAGCUCUCAAACAUUACUGAACAUGAGACAGUUCAUACAGGAGUGAACGUCUACAAAUGUGAAGAAUGUGGAAAAAUUUUAGUUACUCCUCAAUCCUUAUUAAACACAAGAAAAAUCAUACUGGAGACAUAUCCUACAAAUGAGAUUAAUGUGGCAAAGUCUUUAAGUGGUUCUCAGACUUUGGUAAUCAUACAGAAUUCAUACUUGAGAGAAACCCUACAAAUGUGAAUGUUAAAGAGACUAUAUGUGGGUUUCAGAACU
This 712-nucleotide long non-coding RNA is filed under the name Macaca mulatta (Rhesus monkey). RNAcentral's name for it is "lncRNA (ENSMMUG00000054981.1)". Lineage: Eukaryota; Metazoa; Chordata; Mammalia; Primates; Cercopithecidae. The record is from RNAcentral.